This 253-nucleotide long non-coding RNA is filed under the name Erythranthe guttata (spotted monkey flower). RNAcentral describes it as "long non-coding RNA (EGUT_LNC003665)". Lineage: Eukaryota; Viridiplantae; Streptophyta; Magnoliopsida; Lamiales; Phrymaceae. The record is from RNAcentral.
GGAAUUCUUCUGACCAACUUAUCAACGAACAUUAAAAAAAUAUGAAUAUAUAGAUAAGUGUCUAAAAAAAGGCUAAGGCUGUGAGCAUUGAUGGUUGAAAAUCGAGGGUCGGGCGACGACAACUAUGAAAGUGAUAGAGUAUGAGAGUCAUCAGUGCGUGAUGUCACCGACUUGAACCUCGACUAAGGAGCGUGCGAGUGUGUCUGCAAGUGUUUAAGAAAGCACACAAGUGUUGGAGAAUAUUAAAAAUAAU